This 221-nucleotide ribosomal RNA is filed under the name Shigella flexneri. RNAcentral's name for it is "partial 16S ribosomal RNA". It matches the Rfam family "Bacterial small subunit ribosomal RNA", at positions 1 to 218 of the family's 1533-position model. Lineage: Bacteria; Pseudomonadati; Pseudomonadota; Gammaproteobacteria; Enterobacterales; Enterobacteriaceae. The record is from RNAcentral.
AAAUUGAAGAGUUUGAUCAUGGCUCAGAUUGAACGCUGGCGGCAGGCCUAACACAUGCAAGUCGAACGGUAACAGGAAGCAGCUUGCUGUUUCGCUGACGAGUGGCGGACGGGUGAGUAAUGUCUGGGAAACUGCCCGAUGGAGGGGGAUAACUACUGGAAACGGUAGCUAAUACCGCAUAACGUCGCAAGACCAAAGAGGGGGACCUUCUGGCCUCUUGC